UUGAUUAGAAGAGAGGAAAAUGGAGCUGAAUGUCUAAAUAUCAAUAUUGGAUCAAAGACGACCUUCCUGCCUAACCAACUCCAGCUCCACCUGGAAGAUGUGAAGGAAUUAGAAGCUUUCAAUAAACUUUCUGUUUUAACAACAAAAUGCAUUAUCAUCACUACUUCUCAAGUUACGUUACUAGACAACAUUUCUGGAAUGGAAUUUUCUCCCAAACUUAUUUUUAUCAUACAAGAUUUAGCUAGAAAAAAUGAAGAAAA
Eurytemora carolleeae is the source of this 260-nucleotide long non-coding RNA. RefSeq lists it as uncharacterized. The record is from RefSeq and is a predicted model, not a curated record. NCBI's taxonomy places the organism in Eukaryota, Metazoa, Arthropoda, Copepoda, Calanoida, Temoridae. The transcript is spliced from 3 exons.